GUGCAGUAUAGUUGAGAAUAUGCUUCUGCAGCUUGGAAAAUGAGCAGGAACACCAACUCACUCAACUAUUAUCGUAUGUAAAACAUCUUUGUAUUUGCAAUUACUGGGAGAAGUGACAGGACAGUACCCAACUGGGAAAACUGGAAGCUGCUGAAAUUAAUUAAGUGUUCCCAUGGCUUGGCUUGAAGGAUGUGAAAUGUUCCACGAAGCCAACAAGCUAGUAUCAUCAGCAAGCAGUAUUCCAGUGUUCAGAUACACACAGCCACAACUACACCAGCAGCAGUGCAAACAGGUAUACACAAAUGGGUGCUUAAGUCCUCCUGCAGUAUGCUUCCUUGCCUGCCUGCAGCACUUCAGAGCUUGUGCAUAUAGGAUUGCAGCCCACAGCUCCCAGCUCACUGAAGUCUCCUGGUCACCACGCUGGACUACACCGGAACAGCAUUAAUUGAGAACUGAGACGGGAAUCACAGAAAGGAAGACAGCUGUCUAACCCUUUUUACUGCACAUAGACUAUAUGGCUAUAAUUUAUAUAAGCAGACCUUAAACUGAAGCCUGGAUCUCCUUCUUCCGGUGUGAGCACUAUGGUAAGAACAAUGCUUCAGCCAAAAGCAGAGUGCUACAGGAGACGUGGAGGAUUUUCCUUUCUUUCAGCAGCCCAUUGACUGCUCCUAAUUAGUCCCUAGCACAACAGUUUCGUCACUUGCUCAUGAAGGGACUGUAAAUUCCCUGAAGCCAUGUUGAAUCAGGAUCCUGCUUUUGAGAAAAAAAAUAAAAAAAUAAUAAAAAAAUAAAGUCCUUUAAUG
This 803-nucleotide long non-coding RNA is filed under the name Numida meleagris (helmeted guineafowl). RNAcentral's name for it is "lncRNA (ENSNMEG00000011743.1)". Lineage: Eukaryota; Metazoa; Chordata; Aves; Galliformes; Numididae. The record is from RNAcentral.